RNAcentral lists this ribosomal RNA (543 nucleotides) under uncultured beta proteobacterium. RNAcentral's name for it is "bacterial SSU rRNA". It matches the Rfam family "Bacterial small subunit ribosomal RNA", at positions 343 to 880 of the family's 1533-position model. Lineage: Bacteria; Pseudomonadati; Pseudomonadota; Betaproteobacteria. The record is from RNAcentral.
GGGAGGCAGCAGUGGGGAAUUUUGGACAAUGGGCGCAAGCCUGAUCCAGCAAUGCCGCGUGCAGGAUGAAGGCCUUCGGGUUGUAAACUGCUUUUGUACGGAACGAAAAGGUGCUUUCUAAUACAGGGCGCUCAUGACGGUACCGUAAGAAUAAGCACCGGCUAAUUACGUGCCAGCAGCCGCGGUAAUACGUAGGGUGCAAGCGUUAAUCGGAAUUACUGGGCGUAAAGCGUGCGCGGGCGGUUUUGUAAGACAGUGGUGAAAUCCCCGGGCUCAACCUGGGAACUGCCAUUGUGACUGCAAGGCUGGAGUGCGGCAGAGGGGGAUGGAAUUCCGCGUGUAGCAGUGAAAUGCGUAGAUAUGCGGAGGAACACCGAUGGCGAAGGCAAUCCCCUGGGCCUGCACUGACGCUCAUGCACGAAAGCGUGGGGAGCAAACAGGAUUAGAUACCCUGGUAGUCCACGCCCUAAACGAUGUCAACUGGUUGUUGGGGAUUUAUUAUUCAGUAACGAAGCUAACGCGUGAAGUUGACCGCCUGGGGAU